This 442-nucleotide ribosomal RNA is filed under the name uncultured bacterium. RNAcentral's name for it is "partial 16S ribosomal RNA". It matches the Rfam family "Bacterial small subunit ribosomal RNA", at positions 338 to 795 of the family's 1533-position model. The record is from RNAcentral.
CCUACGGGUGACAGCAGUGGGGGAUAUUGCACAAUGGGCGCAACCCUGAUGCAGCGACGCCGCGUGGGCGAAGAAGUAUUUCGGUAUGUAAAGCUCUAUCUGCAGGGAAGAAGAAAUGACGGUACCUGAGUUAGAAGCACCGGCUAAAUACGUGCCAGCAGCCGCGGUAAUACGUAUGGUGCGAGCGUUAUCCGGAUUUACUGGGUGUAAAGGGAGCGCAGGCGGCACGGCAAGCCUGAUGGGAAAGCCCGCGGCCCAACCGGGGUACUGCAUUGGAAACUAGCGGGCUGGAGUGCCGGAGAGGUAGGCGGAAUUCCUAGUGUAGCGGUGAAAUGCGUAGAUAUUAGGAGGAACACCAGUGGCGAAGGCAGCCUACUGGACGGUGACUGACGCUGAGGCUCGAAAGCGUGGGGAGCAAACAGGAUUAGAUACCCUUGUAGUC